Molecule: ribosomal RNA, 253 nt
Filed under: uncultured bacterium
Lineage: Bacteria
Description: partial 16S ribosomal RNA
Rfam family: Bacterial small subunit ribosomal RNA
Source: RNAcentral
UACGUAGGGGGCGGGCGUUGUCCGGAUUUAUUGGGCGUAAAGAGCGUGUAGGCGGCCAGGUAGGUCUGCUGUGAAAACUCGAGGCUCAACCUCGAGACGUCGGCGGAAACCAUCUGGCUAGAGUCCGGAAGAGGAGAGUGGAAUUCCUGGUGUAGCGGUGAAAUGCGUAGAUAUCUGGAGGAACACCGGUGGCGAAGGCGGCAUCCUGGACCGGUAUUGACGCUGAGGAGCGAAAGCCAGGGGAGCAAACGGG